This 378-nucleotide ribosomal RNA is filed under the name uncultured bacterium. Its description in RNAcentral is "bacterial SSU rRNA". It matches the Rfam family "Bacterial small subunit ribosomal RNA", at positions 521 to 898 of the family's 1533-position model. The record is from RNAcentral.
UAAUACAGAGGGUGCGAGCGUUAAUCGGAUUUACUGGGCGUAAAGCGUGCGUAGGCGGCUUUUUAAGUCGGAUGUGAAAUCCCUGAGCUUAACUUAGGAAUUGCAUUCGAUACUGGGAAGCUAGAGUAUGGGAGAGGAUGGUAGAAUUCCAGGUGUAGCGGUGAAAUGCGUAGAGAUCUGGAGGAAUACCGAUGGCGAAGGCAGCCAUCUGGCCUAAUACUGACGCUGAGGUACGAAAGCAUGGGGAGCAAACAGGAUUAGAUACCCUGGUAGUCCAUGCCGUAAACGAUGUCUACUAGCCGUUGGGGCCUUUGAGGCUUUAGUGGCGCAGCUAACGCGAUAAGUAGACCGCCUGGGGAGUACGGUCGCAAGACUAAA